GAUGAACGCUAGCUACAGGCUUAACACAUGCAAGUCGAGGGGCAGCAUGGUCUUAGCUUGCUAAGGCCGAUGGCGACCGGCGCACGGGUGAGUAACACGUAUCCAACCUGCCGUCUACUCUUGGACAGCCUUCUGAAAGGAAGAUUAAUACAAGAUGGCAUCAUGAGUCCGCAUGUUCACAUGAUUAAAGGUAUUCCGGUAGACGAUGGGGAUGCGUUCCAUUAGAUAGUAGGCGGGGUAACGGCCCACCUAGUCUUCGAUGGAUAGGGGUUCUGAGAGGAAGGUCCCCCACAUUGGAACUGAGACACGGUCCAAACUCCUACGGGAGGCAGCAGUGAGGAAUAUUGGUCAAUGGGAGAGAGCCUGAACCAGCCAAGUAGCGUGAAGGAUGACUGCCCUAUGGGUUGUAAACUUCUUUUAUAAAGGAAUAAAGUCGGGUAGGGAUACCCGUUUGCAUGUACUUUAUGAAUAAGGAUCGGCUAACUCCGUG
Molecule: ribosomal RNA, 490 nt
Filed under: uncultured bacterium
Lineage: Bacteria
Description: partial 16S ribosomal RNA
Rfam family: Bacterial small subunit ribosomal RNA
Source: RNAcentral